RNAcentral lists this unclassified non-coding RNA (232 nucleotides) under Hevea brasiliensis (rubber tree). The record is from RNAcentral. Lineage: Eukaryota; Viridiplantae; Streptophyta; Magnoliopsida; Malpighiales; Euphorbiaceae.
GGUGUUAUGAAGUCUUCCAAUAUUGUGUAAUUUAAGUUUUAACAUAAGCUUUAUGUGUUAUCCAAGUAAGAGGGAGUGUGAAAUAUUUCGAUAGCCAAAUUAACAGAAACCAAAAGAUAAAGUAUUGAUCAACCCCAUUCCAAGUUUAGUAAAUUUAUCACAAACUUUUCCCUAGAACUAUCAUAAAUUCUAGGUAUGGCAAUUCGAGGUGGCAGAUUGUGUUCAUGUCGUG